RNAcentral lists this ribosomal RNA (253 nucleotides) under uncultured bacterium. Its description in RNAcentral is "partial 16S ribosomal RNA". It matches the Rfam family "Bacterial small subunit ribosomal RNA", at positions 524 to 776 of the family's 1533-position model. The record is from RNAcentral.
UACGGAGGGGGCUAGCGUUGUUCGGAAUUACUGGGCGUAAAGCGCGCGUAGGCGGCCUCUUAAGUCAGGGGUGAAAGCCCGGGGCUCAACCUCGGAACUGCCUUUGAUACUGUGAGUCUCGAGGCCGGAAGAGGUGAGUGGAAUUCCUAGUGUAGAGGUGAAAUUCGUAGAUAUUAGGAAGAACACCAGUGGCGAAGGCGGCUCACUGGUCCGGUUCUGACGAUGAGGUGCGAAAGCGUGGGGAGCAAACAGG